GGCUAAAUAACAUAUUGGUUAUGUAGUGGGUUGCAAACCCAUUUAAACUGGUUCGAUUCCAGUUUUAGCCU
This is a non-coding RNA of Candidatus Carsonella ruddii DC, 71 nucleotides long. NCBI's taxonomy places the organism in Bacteria, Pseudomonadati, Pseudomonadota, Gammaproteobacteria, Oceanospirillales, Halomonadaceae. The record is from Rfam.